CCUACGGGAGGCAGCAGUGAGGAAUAUUGGUCAAUGGGCGCGAGCCUGAACCAGCCAAGUAGCGUGAAGGAUGACUGCCCUACGGGUUGUAAACUUCUUUUAUAAAGGAAUAAAGUGAGGCACGUGUGCCUUUUUGUAUGUACUUUAUGAAUAAGAAUCGGCUAACUCCGUGCCAGCAGACGCGGUAAUACGGAGGCUCAGAUCGUUAUCCGGAUUUAUUUGGUUUAAAGGGAGCGUAAAUGGGUUGUUAAGUCAGUUGUGAAAGUUUGCGGCUAAACCGUAAAAUUGCAAUUGAUACUGGCAGUCGUGAGUACAGUUGAGGUAGGCGGAAUUCGUGGUGUAGCGGUGAAAUGCUUAGAUAUCACGAAGAACUCCGAUUGCGAAGGCAGCUUACUAAACUGCCACUGACAUUGAUGCUCGAAAGUGUGGGUAUCAAACAGGAUUAGAUACCCUUGUAGUC
RNAcentral lists this ribosomal RNA (460 nucleotides) under uncultured bacterium. RNAcentral's name for it is "partial 16S ribosomal RNA". It matches the Rfam family "Bacterial small subunit ribosomal RNA", at positions 338 to 795 of the family's 1533-position model. The record is from RNAcentral.